GUGGCCUACUGGCAAUCUAAGGCUGAGCAAUGCUGCUGGUUUUGUUUGGACCUUUCCUUGACAGCCAGAGGGUAUCAGCCCCAUGAUUGUUUAGGAUGUGUCAUCAUCCAGGGUGAAAAUGACAUCACCAGAGCAAAUUACUCUGGGAUUUUGCAAAUCUGCAGCGCAGGACUUGCCAGAGAAAAUGAAACCAUAGCUCAGUCCUCUCAUCUCUGUUGUUGUGGAGCAAACGAGUGGGGAUGUGGGGGAAGAAGAGAGAAAGGAACUGACUUCUACUGAGUGCCUCUAAGAACCAGGCACUGGGAAGAAGUGAGGGAAGGUAUACUGCUUCCUCUUGUUCAGAAGCAGAAAUUGAAACUAGAAAACUGGGACUGGGAGGUCCUCUGGAGAGACUAUUCAUUUUUGCUAAAGAGAAACAAGAUGAGGAACAUCCAUGAGUGGAAGGCAAGUAGUCUUCAUCCACACAUUACUCCCAAGUCCCCAAACCCAUCUUCGAACCUCUAAGUCCCCAGUAAUCUAGACCCUAACUCAACUCUUCAUAGAAGAGAAAAUGACCCACUUUCAUGGGUGCAGUGUUUUAGAGGAACAGAGAACUUUUAUACAGCUUCUGUUUGUUUUUAAAGCAAGACUGGGAGACAGGCAAAAUACUCUUAUUUCCAUUUUUCCAUUGUAUAGAUGAAAUGUCUGAGAAACUGGGACUCAGGUUGGUAAUGGGGUUUGGUGAAAGCCACACAUUCAGAUGAUAUAUUCUUUGUCAUCUCAGUCUUUGGGAUCAGAAAGGUACAUAGAUCCUGAUAAUAAUGGACUUUUGCUUGUUUUUUAUGGAGGUGAAGUUCCCAUGACAUAUCAUUAGCCAGUUUAAAGUGAGCAAUUCAGUGGCUUUUAGUACAUUGACAAUGUUGUGCAAUCACUAGUUCUGUCUUCAGAGUUUUUCAUUAUGCCCUCCCUGGGUUUUUGUGCUGAAUAAAAGAGCUUAUCUGUGUAUGAAUUCAGCUGAGGGCCUUGCCCCUGGUAGGGGCUGAAUGAAGGGAGGCUGUGUUAACAGACUGUCUACCUCUCUCAUAAACUUGAUAGUGUAGAAAGAGGGAUUCUUUCCUAAAUGUAGUACCUCGAGAAAAUCAGGUUGAGGAUAUAUGAAGUGUUCAUGUCCCAAUCCUUUUGUAAAAUGACAUUUCAAAAUUGCUCUCUUCUGGGAAACCUUUCCCCAGGAACUCCUAUUCUCAAGUGAAGACACAUUUACCUACUGCUGCCCAGGACUGAAUCACUCGGUCACAGAGCAUCUUGUCUUUUGAAAAGAGUUCAUCUCUGGGCCGGGCCGUGACAUGCACAACGUUGGAGGUACUACAGUACUCUGCCUUGCCCUGAGUACAGAAAUGUGCAUAACAGAUGUGUGUUGGAUUGUACCCAGUGGUGGCCGGCAAGCCCCCACAUUCCAGCCAUGGUGACUGGCAUUUUCCCCACAUUUGAAAUAGGGUUUUGGUG
Molecule: non-coding RNA, 1482 nt
Organism: Odocoileus virginianus texanus
Lineage: Eukaryota; Metazoa; Chordata; Mammalia; Artiodactyla; Cervidae
Source: RefSeq, a predicted model, not a curated record